GAGUUUGAUCAUGGCUCAGGAUGAACGCUAGCGGCAGGCUUAAUACAUGCAAGUCGAGGGGCAGCAGCUUUAUAGCAAUAUAGAGGCUGGCGACCGGCAAACGGGUGCGGAACACGUACACAACCUUCCUUGAAUAGGGGGAUAGCCCAUAGAAAUGUGGAUUAAUACCCCGUAAUAUAGCGGUGUGGCAUCACACUGUUAUUAUAGUUUCGGCGAUUCGAGAUGGGUGUGCGGCUGAUUAGGUAGUUGGCGGGGUAAAGGCCCACCAAGCCUUCGAUCAGUAGCUGAUGUGAGAGCAUGAUCAGCCACACGGGCACUGAGACACGGGCCCGACUCCUACGGGAGGCAGCAGUAAGGAAUAUUGGUCAAUGGACGCAAGUCUGAACCAGCCAUGCCGCGUGAAGGAUGAAGGUCCUCUGGAUUGUAAACUUCUUUUAUAGGGGGCGAAAAAAGGUCUUUCUAGAUCACUUGACAGUACCCUAUGAAUAAGCACCGGCUAACUCCGUGCCAGCAGCCGCGGUAAUACGGAGGGUGCAAGCGUUAUCCGGAUUCACUGGGUUUAAAGGGUGCGUAGGCGGGUAGGUAAGUCAGAGGUGAAAUCCUGGAGCUUAACUCCAGAACUGCCUUUGAUACUAUCUAUCUUGAAUAUGGUGGAGGUAAGCGGAAUAUGUCAUGUAGCGGUGAAAUGCAUAGAUAUGACAUAGAACACCUAUUGCGAAAGGCAGCUUACUACGCCUAUAUUGACGCUGAGGCACGAAAGCGUGGGGAUCAAACAGGAUUAGAUACCCUGGUAGUCCACGCCCUAAACGAUGAUUACUCGACGUAUGCGAUACACAGUAUGCGUCUGAGCGAAGCAUUAAGUAAUCCACCUGGGAAGUACGACCGCAAGUUGAAACUCAAAGGAAUUGCGGGGUCGCCACAGCGGUGGAGCAUGUGCUUUAAUUCGAUGAUMSCGAGACCUACUGGCUAGAUGCAUCUGACCUKGGUGAAAGCUCAAUUCGUAGCAUACCCAAAUUGUAAGSUGCUGCAURGCYGUUC
RNAcentral lists this ribosomal RNA (1038 nucleotides) under uncultured Bacteroidota bacterium. Its description in RNAcentral is "bacterial SSU rRNA". The record is from RNAcentral. Lineage: Bacteria; Pseudomonadati; Bacteroidota.